CAGCAGCCGCGGUAAAACGUAGGGUGCAAGCGUUAAUCGGAAUUACUGGGCGUAAAGCGUGCGCAGGCGGUGUUGUAAGACUGAUGUGAAAUCCCCGGGCUCAACCUGGGAACUGCAUUGGUGACUGCAACGCUGGAGUGCGGCAGAGGGGGAUGGAAUUCCGCGUGUAGCAGUGAAAUGCGUAGAUAUGCGGAGGAACACCGAUGGCGAAGGCAAUCCCCUGGGCCUGCACUGACGCUCAUGCACGAAAGCGUGGGGAGCAAACAGGAUUAGAUACCCGCGUAGUCCCUGUCUCUUAUAC
Molecule: ribosomal RNA, 301 nt
Filed under: uncultured bacterium
Lineage: Bacteria
Description: partial 16S ribosomal RNA
Rfam family: Bacterial small subunit ribosomal RNA
Source: RNAcentral